GGCCCGGUAGUUCAGUUGGUUAGAACGCUAGCCUGUCACGCUAGAGGUCGUCAGUUCGAGCCUGAUCCGGGUCGCCA
RNAcentral lists this transfer RNA (77 nucleotides) under Faecalibacterium prausnitzii. Its description in RNAcentral is "tRNA-Asp". It matches the Rfam family "tRNA". Rfam says of the family: Transfer RNA (tRNA) molecules are approximately 80 nucleotides in length. Their secondary structure includes four short double-helical elements and three loops (D, anti-codon, and T loops). The record is from RNAcentral. Lineage: Bacteria; Bacillati; Bacillota; Clostridia; Eubacteriales; Oscillospiraceae. RNAcentral also lists the same sequence under 17 other names.